Molecule: ribosomal RNA, 177 nt
Filed under: uncultured bacterium
Lineage: Bacteria
Description: partial 16S ribosomal RNA
Rfam family: Bacterial small subunit ribosomal RNA
Source: RNAcentral
ACUCCUACGGGAGGCAGCAGUGGGGAAUAUUGGGCAAUGGGGGAAACCCUGACCCAGCAACGCCGCGUGAAGGAAGAAGGCCUUCGGGUUGUAAACUUCUUUUACCAGGGACGAAGAACGUGACGGUACCUGGAGAAAAAGCAACGGCUAACUACGUGCCAGCAGCCGCGGUAAUAC